AAUAGAUACCCGGUAGUCCACGCCGUAAACGAUGAGUGCUAAGUGUUAGAGGGUUUCCGCCCUUUAGUGCUGCAGCUAACGCAUUAAGCACUCCGCCUGGGGAGUACGGUCGCAAGACUGAAACUCAAAGGAAUUGACGGGGGGCCCGCACAAGCGGUGGAGCAUGUGGUUUAAUUCGAAGCAACGCGAAGAACCUUACCAGGUCUUGACAUCCCGGUGACCACUAUGGAGACAUAGUUUCCCCUUCGGGGGCAACGGUGACAGGUGGUGCAUGGUUGUCGUCAGCUCGUGUCGUGAGAUGUUGGGUUAAGUCCCGCAACGAGCGCAACCCUUAUUCUUAGUUGCCAUCAUUCAGUUGGGCACUCUAAGGAGACUGCCGGUGAUAAACCGGAGGAAGGUGGGGAUGACGUCAAAUCAUCAUGCCCCCUUAUGACCUGGGCUACACACGUGCUACAAUGGACGGUACAAACGGUUGCCAACCCGCGAGGGGGAGCUAAUCCGAUAAAACCGUUCUCAGUUCGGAUUGUAGGCUGCAACUCGCCUACA
Molecule: ribosomal RNA, 546 nt
Filed under: uncultured bacterium
Lineage: Bacteria
Description: bacterial SSU rRNA
Rfam family: Bacterial small subunit ribosomal RNA
Source: RNAcentral